GUAGGGUGCAAGCGUUAAUCGGAAUUACUGGGCGUAAAGCGUGCGCAGGCGGUUGUGUAAGACAGGCGUGAAAUCCCCGGGCUCAACCUGGGAAUUGCGCUUGUGACUGCACGGCUGGAGUGCGGCAGAGGGGGAUGGAAUUCCGCGUGUAGCAGUGAAAUGCGUAGAUAUGCGGAGGAACACCGAUGGCGAAGGCAAUCCCCUGGGCCUGCACUGACGCUCAUGCACGAAAGCGUGGGGAGCAAAC
This 247-nucleotide ribosomal RNA is filed under the name uncultured Hydrogenophaga sp. Its description in RNAcentral is "partial 16S ribosomal RNA". It matches the Rfam family "Bacterial small subunit ribosomal RNA", at positions 527 to 773 of the family's 1533-position model. The record is from RNAcentral. Lineage: Bacteria; Pseudomonadati; Pseudomonadota; Betaproteobacteria; Burkholderiales; Comamonadaceae.